RNAcentral lists this ribosomal RNA (489 nucleotides) under uncultured bacterium. RNAcentral's name for it is "partial 16S ribosomal RNA". It matches the Rfam family "Bacterial small subunit ribosomal RNA", at positions 28 to 507 of the family's 1533-position model. The record is from RNAcentral.
GAUGAACGCUAGCGGCAGGCUUAAUACAUGCAAGUCGAGGGGCAGCAGGACUGUAGCAAUACAGUUGCUGGCGACCGGCAAACGGGUGCGGAACACGUACGCAACCUACCCAAAACUGGGGGAUAGCCCGGGGAAACCCGGAUUAAUACCUCGUAACCUUUUUAAGUGGCAUCACUUGAUAAGUAUAGCUCCGGCGGUUUUGGAUGGGCGUGCGCCUGAUUAGGUAGUUGGUGCGGGUAACGGCCCACCAAGCCUGCGAUCAGUAACUGGUGUGAGAGCACGACCAGUCACACGGGAACUGAGACACGGGCCCGACUCCUACGGGAGGCAGCAGUAAGGAAUAUUGGUCAAUGGACGCAAGUCUGAACCAGCCAUGCCGCGUGAAGGAUGAAGGUCCUCUGGAUUGUAAACUUCUUUUAUGGGGGACGAAACCCGGAUAUUCUUAUCCGAUUGACGGUACCUCAGGAAUAAGCACCGGCUAACUCCGUG